RNAcentral lists this ribosomal RNA (430 nucleotides) under bacterium. RNAcentral describes it as "partial 16S ribosomal RNA". It matches the Rfam family "Bacterial small subunit ribosomal RNA", at positions 355 to 776 of the family's 1533-position model. The record is from RNAcentral.
UGGGGAAUAUUGGACAAUGGGCGCAAGCCUGAUCCAGCCAUGCCGCGUGUGUGAAGAAGGCCUUUCGGUUGUAAAGCACUUUAAGCGAGGAGGAGGCUACUUGGAUUAAUACUCUAAGAUAGUGGACGUUACUCGCAGAAUAAGCACCGGCUAACUCUGUGCCAGCAGCCGCGGUAAUACAGAGGGUGCGAGCGUUAAUCGGAUUUACUGGGCGUAAAGCGUGCGUAGGCGGCUUCUUAAGUCGGAUGUGAAAUCCCUGAGCUUCACUUAGGAAUUGCAUUCGAUACUGGGAAGCUAGAGUAUGGGAGAGGAUGGUAGAAUUCCAGGUGUAGCGGUGAAGUGCGUAGAGAUCUGGAGGAAUACCGAUGGCGAAGGCAGCCAUCUGGCCUAAUACUGACGCUGAGGUACGAAAGCAUGGGGAGCAAACAGG